AUUGAACGCUGGCGGCAUGCCUUACACAUGCAAGUCGAACGGCAGCACGGGGGCAACCCUGGUGGCGAGUGGCGAACGGGUGAGUAAAGCAUCGGAACGUACCCGGAAGUGGGGGAUAACGUAGCGAAAGUUACGCUAAUACCGCAUAUUCUGUGAGCAGGAAAGAGGGGGAUCGCAAGACCUCUCGCUUUCGGAGCGGCCGAUGUCGGAUUAGCUAGUUGGUGGGUAAAGGCCUACCAAGGCGACGAUCCGUAGCUGGUCUUAGAGGAUGAUCAGCCACACUGGGACUGAGACACGGCCCAGACUCCUACGGGAGGCAGCAGUGGGGAAUAUUGGACAAUGGGCGAAAGCCUGAUCCAGCAAUGCCGCGUGAGUGAUGAAGGCCUUAGGGUUGUAAAGCUCUUUUACCCGGGAUGAUAAUGACAGUACCGGGAGAAUAAGACCCCGGCUAACUCCGUGCCAGCAGCCGCGGUAAU
Molecule: ribosomal RNA, 476 nt
Filed under: uncultured bacterium
Lineage: Bacteria
Description: bacterial SSU rRNA
Rfam family: Bacterial small subunit ribosomal RNA
Source: RNAcentral